GAUGAACGCUGGCGGCGUGCCUAAUACAUGCAAGUCGAGCGAACAGACGAGGAGCUUGCUCCUCUGACGUUAGCGGCGGACGGGUGAGUAACACGUGGAUAACCUACCUAUAAGACUGGGAUAACUUCGGGAAACCGGAGCUAAUACCGGAUAAUAUAUUGAACCGCAUGGUUCAAUAGUGAAAGACGGUUUUGCUGUCACUUAUAGAUGGAUCCGCGCCGCAUUAGCUAGUUGGUAAGGUAACGGCUUACCAAGGCGACGAUGCGUAGCCGACCUGAGAGGGUGAUCGGCCACACGGGAACUGGAACACGGUCCAGGCUCCUACGGGAGGCAGCAGUAGGGAAUCUUCCGCAAUGGGCGAGAGCCUGACGGAGCAGCGCCGCGUGAGUGAUGAAGGUCUUCGGAUCGUAAAACUCUGUUAUUAGGGAAGAACAAAUGUGUAAGUAACUAUGCACGUCUUGACGGUACCUGAUCAGAAAGCCACGGCUAACUACGUG
This 497-nucleotide ribosomal RNA is filed under the name uncultured bacterium. Its description in RNAcentral is "partial 16S ribosomal RNA". It matches the Rfam family "Bacterial small subunit ribosomal RNA", at positions 28 to 507 of the family's 1533-position model. The record is from RNAcentral.